Molecule: transfer RNA, 71 nt
Organism: Cavia porcellus (domestic guinea pig)
Lineage: Eukaryota; Metazoa; Chordata; Mammalia; Rodentia; Caviidae
Rfam family: tRNA
About the family: Transfer RNA (tRNA) molecules are approximately 80 nucleotides in length.
Source: Rfam
GGGGAUUUAGCUCAGCGGCAUAAGCGCCUGCCUUGCAAGCAGGCAGUCGUGAGUUCGAUCCCUGGUACCCA